RNAcentral lists this ribosomal RNA (496 nucleotides) under uncultured bacterium. RNAcentral describes it as "partial 16S ribosomal RNA". It matches the Rfam family "Bacterial small subunit ribosomal RNA", at positions 28 to 506 of the family's 1533-position model. The record is from RNAcentral.
GAUGAACGCUGGCGGCGUGCCUAAUACAUGCAAGUCGAGCGAACAGAUGAGGAGCUUGCUCCUCUGACGUUAGCGGCGGACGGGUGAGUAACACGUGGAUAACCUACCUAUAAGACUGGGAUAACUUCGGGAAACCGGAGCUAAUACCGGAUAAUAUAUUGAACCGCAUGGUUCAAUAGUGAAAGACGGUUUUGCUGUCACUUAUAGAUGGAUCCGCGCCGCAUUAGCUAGUUGGUAAGGUAACGGCUUACCAAGGCAACGAUGCGUAGCCGACCUGAGAGGGUGAUCGGCCACACUGGAACUGAGACACGGUCCAGACUCCUACGGGAGGCAGCAGUAGGGAAUCUUCCGCAAUGGGCGAAAGCCUGACGGAGCGACGCCGCGUGAGUGAUGAAGGUCUUCGGAUCGUAAAACGCUGUUAUUAGGGAAGAACAAAUGUAUAAGUAACUAUGCACGUCUUGACGGUACCUAAACAGAAAGCCACGGCUAACUACGU